RNAcentral lists this ribosomal RNA (442 nucleotides) under Salmonella enterica subsp. enterica serovar Braenderup. RNAcentral's name for it is "bacterial SSU rRNA". It matches the Rfam family "Bacterial small subunit ribosomal RNA", at positions 130 to 606 of the family's 1533-position model. The record is from RNAcentral. Lineage: Bacteria; Pseudomonadati; Pseudomonadota; Gammaproteobacteria; Enterobacterales; Enterobacteriaceae.
CUAGCUCUACGGAAUAACCCAGGGAAACUUGGACUAAUACCGUAUACGUCCGAGAGGAGAAAGAUUUAUCGGAGUUAGAUGAGCCCGCGUUGGAUUAGCUAGUUGGUGGGGUAAAGGCCUACCAAGGCGACGAUCCAUAGCUGGUCUGAGAGGAUGAUCAGCCACACUGGGACUGAGACACGGCCCAGACUCCUACGGGAGGCAGCAGUGGGGAAUAUUGGACAAUGGGCGCAAGCCUGAUCCAGCCAUGCCGCGUGAGUGAUGACGGCCUUAGGGUUGUAAAGCUCUUUCAACGGUGAAGAUAAUGACGGUAACCGUAGAAGAAGCCCCGGCUAACUUCGUGCCAGCAGCCGCGGUAAUACGAAGGGGGCUAGCGUUGUUCGGAAUUACUGGGCGUAAAGCGCACGUAGGCGGAUACUUAAGUCAGGGGUGAAAUCCCGGG